GGGAUAACUGAUGGAAACGUCAGCUAAGACCGCAUAGGUGUAGAGAUCGCAUGAACUCUAUAUGAAAAGUGCUACGGGACUGGUAGAUGAUGGACUUAUGGUGCAUUAGCUGGUUGGUAGGGUAACGGCCUACCAAGGCGACGAUGCGUAGCCGACCUGAGAGGGUGACCGGCCACACUGGGACUGAGACACGGCCCAGACUCCUACGGGAGGCAGCAGUAGGGAAUUUUCGGCAAUGGGGGAAACCCUGACCGAGCAACGCCGCGUGAAGGAAGAAGUAAUUCGUUAUGUAAACUUCUGUCAUAGAGGAAGAACGGUGGAUAUAGGGAAUGAUAUCCAAGUGACGGUACUCUAUAAGAAAGCCACGGCUAACUACGUGCCAGCAGCCGCGGUAAUACGUAGGUGGCGAGCGUUAUCCGGAAUUAUUGGGCGUAAAGAGGGAGCAGGCGGCACUAAGGGUCUGUGGUGAAAGAUCGAAGCUUAACUUCGGUAAGCCAUGGAAACCGUAGAGCUAGAGUGUGUGAGAGGAUCGUGGAAUUCCAUGUGUAGCGGUGAAAUGCGUAGAUAUAUGGAGGAACACCAGUGGCGAAGGCGACGAUCUGGCGCAUAACUGACGCUCAGUCCCGAAAGCGUGGGGAGCAAAUAGGAUUAGAUACCCUAGUAGUCCACGCCGUAAACGAUAAGUGCUAAGUGUUGGGAG
RNAcentral lists this ribosomal RNA (700 nucleotides) under uncultured bacterium. RNAcentral describes it as "bacterial SSU rRNA". It matches the Rfam family "Bacterial small subunit ribosomal RNA", at positions 140 to 829 of the family's 1533-position model. The record is from RNAcentral.